This 444-nucleotide ribosomal RNA is filed under the name uncultured Anaerolinea sp. RNAcentral's name for it is "bacterial SSU rRNA". It matches the Rfam family "Bacterial small subunit ribosomal RNA", at positions 335 to 796 of the family's 1533-position model. The record is from RNAcentral. Lineage: Bacteria; Bacillati; Chloroflexota; Anaerolineae; Anaerolineales; Anaerolineaceae.
UGCCUACGGGAGGCUGCAGUAGGGAAUAUUGCUUAAUGGGCGAAAGCCUGAAGCAGCAACGCCGCGUGUGCGAUGAAGGCCUUCGGGUUGUAAAGCACUUUUAGCAGGGAAGAGGAAGGACGGUACCUGCUGAAUAAGCCUCGGCUAACUACGUGCCAGCAGCCGCGGUAAAACGUAGGAGGCGAGCGUUAUCCGGAUUUACUGGGUGUAAAGCGCGUGCAGGCGGUUGGUUAAGUUGGAUGUGAAAGCUCCUGGCUCAACUGGGAGAGGUCGUUCAAGACUGACUGACUGGAGAGCAGUAAGGGAAGGUGGAAUUCCGGGUGUAGUGGUGAAAUGCGUAGAUAUCCGGAGGAACACCAGUGGCGAAGGCGGCCUUCUGGACUGCUUCUGACGCUCAGACGCGAAAGCUAGGGGAGCAAACGGGAUUAGAUACCCCUGUAGUCU